GUUAAAGCUUGGUCGCAAAUGGGUCUUCCAAAAGGACAAUGACCCCAAGCAUACUUCCAAAGUUGUGGCAAAAUGGCUUAAGGACAACAAAGUCAAGGUAUUGGAGUGGCCAUCACAAAGCUCUGACCUCAAUCCUAUAGAAAUUUGUGGGCAGAACUAAAAAAGUGUGUGUGCGAGCAAGAAGGCCUACAAACCUGACUCAGUUACACCAGCUCUGUCAGGAGGAAUGGGCUAAAAUUCACCCAGCUUAUUGUGGGAAGCUUGUGGAAGCUUACCCGAAACGUUUGACCCAGGUUAAACAAUUUAAAGGCCAUGCUACCAAAUACUAAUUGAGUGUAUGUACACUUCUGAGCCACUGGGAAUGUGAUGAAAGAAAUAAAAGCUGAAAUAAAUCAUUCUCUUUACUAUUAUUCUGACAUUUCACAUUCUUAAAAAAAAGUGGUGAUCUUAACAGGCCUACAACAGGGAAUUUUUACUUGGAUUAAAUGUUAGGAAUUGUGAAAAACUGUGUUUAAAUGUAUUUGGCUAAGGUGUAUGUAAACCUCUGACUUCAACUGUAUAUAUGAGAACUGUUUAGUUCCAAAAAUAAAGGGUUUAAAUACAUGUAAAAAAAAAAAAAAAAAAAAAUUUUUUUUUUAAGUGUUUCCUAAUCUUUCUUAUAUAUAUUCCUUGAGAUUUGUAUAUGUUGUUCCAUGUAGUGAAUCUGUUAUACAAUGCGUUUGUAUAGGCUAAUAGCAGUAAGGACAAAUAAAUAAAAAAUAUAUAGUUCAACGGGUCUUAAAAUUCAAAAUCCAGUAGCAAAAUGAUCCUUGGUAUGACCUUCUUAAAGCAAUUCCAUAUAGUUUAGUAGAACCCCCCCAGACAGGGUUUAUACUGUAAUGGUUUAACUCAUUUAGCGUCUGGUGAUGUCACCAGGUAGGUAAAAACUCCAUUCCACCAAAACAGGCUGAAAUGUCAGGUGUUCUUGUCAAACAACUCUUACACUAAAAAUGUAUUAUCAUGAUUUUCACAAUUUCAAACUAUUAUUCCAACCUCUUAGUUUGGAAAUAUAUAUAAAACACAGGAAAUCAAGUUUUGACUGCACUGGGCCUUUAACUCUAAUCAAGCUUUGUGACUGUGUUAUGGUGUUAGUGGCACACAGCCAAGCUGUGAUAUCUUUAAUCCAAC
Oncorhynchus tshawytscha (Chinook salmon) is the source of this 1167-nucleotide long non-coding RNA. Lineage: Eukaryota; Metazoa; Chordata; Actinopteri; Salmoniformes; Salmonidae. The record is from Ensembl.